CCUACGCGUGGCAGCAGUGGGGAAUCUUCCGCAAUGGGCGAAAGCCUGACGGAGCAACGCCGCGUGAGGGAUGACGGCCUUCGGGUUGUAAAACUCUGUGAUCCGGGACGAAAAGGCAGAGUGCGAAGAACAAACUGCAUUGACGGUACCGGAAAAGAAAGCCACGGCUAACUACGUGCCAGCAGCCGCGGUAAUACGAAGGUGGCAAACGUUGUCCGGAAUUAUUGGGCGUAAAGCGCGCGCAGGCGGCUUCCCAAGUCCCUCUUAAAAGUGCGGGGCUUAACACCGUGAUGGGAAGGAAACUGGGAAGCUGGAGUAUCGGAGAGGAAAGUGGAAUUCCUAGUGGAGCGGUGAAGUGCGUAGAGAUUAGGAAGAACACCGGUGGCGAAGGCGACUUUCUGGACGAAAACUGACGCUGAGGCGCGAAAGCGUGGGGAGCAAACAGGAUUAGAUACCCUUGUAGUC
RNAcentral lists this ribosomal RNA (465 nucleotides) under uncultured Dialister sp. Its description in RNAcentral is "bacterial SSU rRNA". It matches the Rfam family "Bacterial small subunit ribosomal RNA", at positions 338 to 795 of the family's 1533-position model. Lineage: Bacteria; Bacillati; Bacillota; Negativicutes; Veillonellales; Veillonellaceae. The record is from RNAcentral.